ACUUGCGCUUUUCUCGGGAACCAACCAAUUCUUUAACUCGCGCUUGCACCUUGGCUUUGUGCUCCAAUCCGUUUCAACAUCAAUCUGAAUCGCGAACUUCGUCGGAGUAAUGGCCGGUUCGUGUUGUCGUGGGCGGCGAUGGAAUCGACGGCGGUUGAUGGUGGUGGUGUGUCGGUUGAGGGAGGAGUAUUUGGUUGUGGUGGUGAUGGUGACGCGAUUUGAAGGUGAGGGUUUGAUGAUGGUUGCUAGCGGCGAAGGUUUUUUUUGUGGUGGCUGAGAGGUGGUUAACGGUGGUUCGUGGCGAGGGUUUUAUGGAGGAGAUAAUGAAGGUGGUGAGACGAUGAGGAAGAUGAAAAUGAAGAUUUAAGCGGCGGCUAGGGUUUUUGAAGUGGAGUGAAGGAUUUGUGAGAGAGAUGUGAGCCGGGUCCUCUCUUCGUCUGAGAGUGAAUAGUGUGAAUUUAUUUUGUUUAUUUUUGUCGUUUAGGUUGGUACCAGAGAGAGGAGAGGUAGUUGGUAGUGGAGUGAGUGGAGCAGGGAAGGAGGUAGUGGUUUUUUUUGAAUUUUGUUACUGAGUAAAAUUUUUUUGUCUUUUAUGUGGAGGGAAUCCAAUGUAGAUAUAUACAUAUAUUUAUUUUCCCUAAUUAUUAUUUAUAACAAAAUCAAUUAACUAAUAUUUAAUUUGAAUUAACUAAUAUUUAAAAAAAAAUUAACUAAUAUCUAUUUUAAACACAUUCUAAUUUCUUUAAUUAAAUAUCUAACUAAAAAAUAUUGACCAAUUAAAAAUAAAAAAAAGUCGAAUGCAAUUUUUGUUCAAAAA
Molecule: long non-coding RNA, 817 nt
Filed under: Lathyrus oleraceus (garden pea)
Lineage: Eukaryota; Viridiplantae; Streptophyta; Magnoliopsida; Fabales; Fabaceae
Description: Pisum sativum (pea) long non-coding RNA (PSAT_LNC028678)
Source: RNAcentral